RNAcentral lists this ribosomal RNA (493 nucleotides) under uncultured bacterium. Its description in RNAcentral is "bacterial SSU rRNA". It matches the Rfam family "Bacterial small subunit ribosomal RNA", at positions 28 to 523 of the family's 1533-position model. The record is from RNAcentral.
GAUGAACGCUAGCGGCAGGCUUAACACAUGCAAGUCGAGGGGUAUUGGUUUUCGGACCAAGAGACCGGCGCACGGGUGCGUAACGCGUAUGCAAUCUACCUUUUGCAGAGGGAUAGCCCCAGAGAAAUUUGGAUUAAUACCUCAUAGUAUAGUACUUUGGCAUCAAGGAACUAUUAAAGUCACAACGGCAAAGAUGAGCAUGCGUCCAUUAGCUAGUUGGUAAGGUAACGGCUUACCAAGGCUACGAUGGGUAGGGGUCCUGAGAGGGAGAUCCCCCACACUGGUACUGAGACACGGACCAGACUCCUACGGGAGGCAGCAGUGAGGAAUAUUGGACAAUGGGCGCAAGCCUGAUCCAGCCAUGCCGCGUGCAGGAUGACGGUCCUAUGGAUUGUAAACUGCUUUUGUACAGGAAGAAACCCUUUCACGUGUGGAAGAUUGACGGUACUGUAUGAAUAAGGACCGGCUAACUCCGUGCCAGCAGCCGCGGUAA